Molecule: ribosomal RNA, 429 nt
Filed under: bacterium
Lineage: Bacteria
Description: partial 16S ribosomal RNA
Rfam family: Bacterial small subunit ribosomal RNA
Source: RNAcentral
UGGGGAAUAUUGGACAAUGGGCGCAAGCCUGAUCCAGCCAUACCGCGUGGGUGAAGAAGGCCUUCGGGUUGUAAAGCCCUUUUGUUGGGAAAGAAAAGCAGCCGGUUAAUACCCGGUUGUUCUGACGGUACCCAAAGAAUAAGCACCGGCUAACUUCGUGCCAGCAGCCGCGGUAAUACGAAGGGUGCAAGCGUUACUCGGAAUUACUGGGCGUAAAGCGUGCGUAGGUGGUUGUUUAAGUCUGUCGUGAAAGCCCUGGGCUCAACCUGGGAAUUGCGGUGGAAACUGGGCGACUAGAGUGUGGCAGAGGGUAGUGGAAUUCCUGGUGUAGCAGUGAAAUGCGUAGAGAUCAGGAGGAACAUCCGUGGCGAAGGCGACUGCCUGGGCCAACACUGACACUGAGGCACGAAAGCGUGGGGAGCAAACAGG